RNAcentral lists this ribosomal RNA (141 nucleotides) under uncultured bacterium. Its description in RNAcentral is "partial 16S rRNA". It matches the Rfam family "Bacterial small subunit ribosomal RNA", at positions 355 to 511 of the family's 1533-position model. The record is from RNAcentral.
UGGGGAAUUUUCCGCAAUGGGCGAAAGCCUGACGGAGCAAUGCCGCGAGGAGGUGGAAGGCCUACGGGUCGUCAACUUCUUUUCUCGGAGAAGAAACAAUGACGGUAUCUGAGGAAUAAGCAUCGGCUAACUCUGUGCCAG